This 406-nucleotide ribosomal RNA is filed under the name uncultured bacterium. RNAcentral describes it as "partial 16S ribosomal RNA". It matches the Rfam family "Bacterial small subunit ribosomal RNA", at positions 29 to 526 of the family's 1533-position model. The record is from RNAcentral.
AUUGAACGCUGGCGGCAGGCUUAACACAUGCAAGUCGAGCGAGCGGCGGACGGGUGAGUAAUGUCUGGGAAACUGCCUGAUGGAGGGGGAUAACUAGUGGAAACGGUAGCUAAUACCGCAUACCAUCAGAUGUGCCCAGAUGGGAUUAGCUAGUAGGUGGGGUAAUGGAUCACCUGGGCGAGGAUCCCUAGCUGGUCUGAGAGGAAGAACAGCCCCACGGGAACGGAGCCACGGUCCUGACUCCUACGGGAGGCGGCAGUGGGGAAUAUUGCACAAUGGGCGCAGGCUUGAUGCAGCCAUGCGGCGUGUGUGAAGAGGGCCUUCGGGUUGUAAAGCACUUUCAGCGAGGAGGCGUUACUCGCAGAAGAAGCACCGGCUAACUCCGUGCCAGCAGCCGCGGUAAUAC